AGAGUUUGAUUAUGGCUCAGGAUGAACGCUAGCUACAGGCUUAACACAUGCAAGUCGAGGGGCAGCAUGAACUUAGCUUGCUAAGUUUGAUGGCGACCGGCGCACGGGUGAGUAACACGUAUCCAACCUUCCGUUUACUCAGGGAUAGCCUUUCGAAAGAAAGAUUAAUACCUGAUAGUAUGGUGAGAUUGCAUGAUAGCACCAUUAAAGAUUUAUUGGUAAACGAUGGGGAUGCGUUCCAUUAGGUAGUAGGCGGGGUAACGGCCCACCUAGCCGACGAUGGAUAGGGGUUCUGAGAGGAAGGUCCCCCACAUUGGAACUGAGACACGGUCCAA
This 335-nucleotide ribosomal RNA is filed under the name uncultured bacterium. RNAcentral describes it as "bacterial SSU rRNA". It matches the Rfam family "Bacterial small subunit ribosomal RNA", at positions 8 to 334 of the family's 1533-position model. The record is from RNAcentral.